ACCCAAUGUGAACGUUACCAAACUGUUGCCUCGGCGGGAUCUCUGCCCCGGGUGCGUCGCAGCCCCGGACCAAGGCGCCCGCCGGAGGACCAACCAAAACUCUUAUUGUAUACCCCCUCGCGGGUUUUUUACUAUCUGAGCCAUCUCGGCGCCCCUCGUGGGCGUUUCGAAAAUGAAUCAAAACUUUCAACAACGGAUCUCUUGGUUCUGGCAUCGAUGAAGAACGCAGCGAAAUGCGAUAAGUAAUGUGAAUUGCAGAAUUCAGUGAAUCAUCGAAUCUUUGAACGCACAUUGCGCCCGCCAGUAUUCUGGCGGGCAUGCCUGUCCGAGCGUCAUUUCAACCCUCGAACCCCUCCGGGGGGUCGGCGUUGGGGAUCGGCCCUUUACGGGGCCGGCCCCGAAAUACAGUGGCGGUCUCGCCGCAGCCUCUCCUGCGCAGUAGUUUGCACACUCGCAUCGGGAGCGCGGCGCGUCCACAGCCGUUAAACACCCCAAACUUCUGAAAUGUUGACCUCGGAUCAGGUAGGAAUACCCGCUGAACUUAAGCAUAUCAAUA
This 556-nucleotide ribosomal RNA is filed under the name Trichoderma virens. RNAcentral's name for it is "eukaryotic LSU rRNA". The stretch from base 182 to 335 matches the Rfam family "5.8S ribosomal RNA". Lineage: Eukaryota; Fungi; Ascomycota; Sordariomycetes; Hypocreales; Hypocreaceae. The record is from RNAcentral.